AAACUAGAGGCUCUAAAGAGCCUGUGUCGCUCACCUUGGUCUAUGUGAAUAUUAAACAAAGGAAGCAGAUGGAUUCAUGACAAAAUUGUGUUUUGGUGAUGGUAAUGUGUUUGUAAAUCUUAUCUUACUAAAUAGUCUUGCUGCUUAAAUUUAUCUCUAUCUAUAAUGAACUUGGCCCAGUAGUUUCAGUGGAAAAUGUUAAUAAAAAUUUACAAAUUUUAUGAAAAUUGUUAAAAAUUGACUAUAAAGGACAAUAACUCUUUAGAGGGGUCAAUUGACCGUUUCGGUCAUGUUGGCUUAUUUGUAAAUCUUACUUUGCUGAACAUAAUUGCUGAAUACAGUUUAUCUCUAUCUAUAAUAAUAUUCAAGAUAAUAACCAAAAACAGCAAAAUUUCCUUAAAAUUACCAAUUUAGGGGCAGCAACCCAACAAUGGGUUGUCAGAUUCAUCUGAAAAUUAGAGGGCAGAUAGAUCUUGAUCUGAUAAACAAUUUUAUCCCAUGUCAGAUUUGCUCUAAAUGUUUUGGUUUUUGAAUUAUAAGCCAAAAACUGCAUUUUACCCCUAUGUUCUAUUUUUAGCUGUGGCGGCCAUCUUGAUUUGAUGGCCGGGUCUCCGGACACAUUUUUAAAACUAGAUACCCCAAAGAUGAUUGUUGCUAAGUUUGGAUUAAUUUGGCCCAGUAGUUUCAGAGGAGAAGAUUUUUGUAAAAGAUAACUAAGAUUUACGAAAAUGGUUAAAAAUUGACUAUAAAGGGCAAUAACUCCUAAAGGGGUCAACUGACCAUUCCAGUAAUGUUGAAUUAUUUGUUAAUCUUACUUUGCUGAACAUAAUUUCUGUUUACAGUUUAUCUCUAUCUAUAAUAAUAUUCAAGAUAAUAACAAAAAACAGCAAAAUCUCCUUAAAAUUACCAAUUCAGGGGCAGCAACCCAACAAAGGGUUGUCCGAUUCGUCUGAAAAUUUCAGGGCCGAUAGAUCUUGACCUGAUCAACAAUUAUACAACAUGUCAGAUUUGCUCUAAAUGCUUUGGUUUAUGAGUUAUAAGCCACAACUGCAUUUUACCCCUAUGUUCUAUUUUAAGCCAUGGCGGCCAUCUUGGUUGGUUGACCGGGUCAUGCCACACAUUUUUUAAACUAGAUACCCUAAUUAUGAUUGUGGCCAAGUUUCGUUAAAUUUGGCCCAGUAGUUUCAGAGGAGAAGAUUUUUGUAAAAGAUAACUAAGAUUUACGAAAAAUGGUUAAAAAUUGACUAUAAAGGGCAAUAACUCCUAAAGGGGUCAACUGACCAUUCCGGUCAUGUUGACUUAUUUGUUAAUCUUACUUUGCUGAACAUAAUUGCUGUUUACAGUUUAUCUCUAUCUAUAAUUAUAUUC
RNAcentral lists this long non-coding RNA (1368 nucleotides) under Mytilus galloprovincialis (Mediterranean mussel). Lineage: Eukaryota; Metazoa; Mollusca; Bivalvia; Mytilida; Mytilidae. The record is from RNAcentral.